Molecule: ribosomal RNA, 253 nt
Filed under: uncultured bacterium
Lineage: Bacteria
Description: partial 16S ribosomal RNA
Rfam family: Bacterial small subunit ribosomal RNA
Source: RNAcentral
UACGGAGGGGGCUAGCGUUGUUCGGAAUUACUGGGCGUAAAGCGCACGUAGGCGGCUUUGUAAGUUAGAGGUGAAAGCCCAGGGCUUAACCCUGGAAUUGCCUUUAAGACUGCAUCGCUAGAAUCGUGGAGAGGUGAGUGGAAUUCCGAGUGUAGAGGUGAAAUUCGUAGAUAUUCGGAAGAACACCAGUGGCGAAGGCGACUCACCGGACACGUAUUGACGCUGAGGUGCGAAAGCGUGGGGAGCAAACAGG